RNAcentral lists this ribosomal RNA (67 nucleotides) under Cytobacillus oceanisediminis. RNAcentral's name for it is "Bacillus oceanisediminis partial 16S ribosomal RNA". It matches the Rfam family "Bacterial small subunit ribosomal RNA", at positions 1 to 65 of the family's 1533-position model. Lineage: Bacteria; Bacillati; Bacillota; Bacilli; Caryophanales; Bacillaceae. The record is from RNAcentral.
CUUAUAUGGAGAGUUUGAUCCUGGCUCAGGACGAACGCUGGCGGCGUGCCUAAUACAUGCAAGUCGA